This 566-nucleotide ribosomal RNA is filed under the name Hanseniaspora opuntiae. Its description in RNAcentral is "eukaryotic LSU rRNA". It matches the Rfam family "Eukaryotic large subunit ribosomal RNA", at positions 53 to 633 of the family's 3401-position model. The record is from RNAcentral. Lineage: Eukaryota; Fungi; Ascomycota; Saccharomycetes; Saccharomycodales; Saccharomycodaceae.
GAGGAAAAGAAACCAACUGGGAUUACCUUAGUAACGGCGAGUGAAGCGGUAAAAGCUCAAAUUUGAAAUCUGGUACUUUCAGUGCCCGAGUUGUAAUUUGUAGAAUUUGUCUUUGAUUAGGUCCUUGUCUAUGUUCCUUGGAACAGGACGUCAUAGAGGGUGAGAAUCCCGUUUGGCGAGGAUACCUUUUCUCUGUAAGACUUUUUCGAAGAGUCGAGUUGUUUGGGAAUGCAGCUCAAAGUGGGUGGUAAAUUCCAUCUAAAGCUAAAUAUUGGCGAGAGACCGAUAGCGAACAAGUACAGUGAUGGAAAGAUGAAAAGAACUUUGAAAAGAGAGUGAAAAAGUACGUGAAAUUGUUGAAAGGGAAGGGCAUUUGAUCAGACAUGGUGUUUUUUGCAUGCACUCGCCUCUCGUGGGCUUGGGCCUCUCAAAAAUUUCACUGGGCCAACAUCAAUUCUGGCAGUAGGAUAAAUCAUUAAGAAUGUAGCUACCUCGGUAGUGUUAUAGCUUAUUGGAAUACUGCUAGCUGGGAUUGAGGACUGCGCUUCGGCAAGGAUGUUGGCAUA